AUUGAACGCUGGCGGCAGGCCUAACACAUGCAAGUCGAGCGGAUGAAGGGAGCUUGCUCCUGGAUUCAGCUGCGGACGGGUGAGUAAUGCCUAGGAAUCUGCCCGGUAGUGGGGGAUAACGUCAGGAAACGGGCGCUAAUAUCGCACCCGUUCUGAGUGAGAACGUCGGGGAUCUUAGGACCUCACGCUAUUAGAUGAGACUAGGUCGGAUUAGCUAGUUGGUGGGGUAAAGGCCUACCAAGGCGACGAUCCGUAACUGGUCUGAGAGGAUGAUCAGUCACACUGGAACUGAGACACGGUCCAGACUCCUACGGGAGGCAGCAGUAGGGAAUAUUGGACAAUGGGCGAAAGCCUGAUCCAGCCAUGCCGCGUGUGUGAAGAAGGUCUUCGGAUUGUAAAACACUGUAAGUUGGGAGGAAGAGCAGUAAAUUAAUACCUGGCUAUUUUGACGUUACCAACAGAAUAAGCACCGGCUAACUUCGUG
RNAcentral lists this ribosomal RNA (484 nucleotides) under uncultured bacterium. RNAcentral's name for it is "partial 16S ribosomal RNA". It matches the Rfam family "Bacterial small subunit ribosomal RNA", at positions 30 to 507 of the family's 1533-position model. The record is from RNAcentral.